Syngnathus typhle (broad-nosed pipefish) is the source of this 1544-nucleotide long non-coding RNA. RefSeq lists it as uncharacterized. Lineage: Eukaryota; Metazoa; Chordata; Actinopteri; Syngnathiformes; Syngnathidae. The record is from RefSeq and is a predicted model, not a curated record. The transcript is spliced from 2 exons.
GUGUGCGCCACCUCGGAGCACUCGCAGCCCGUCGGGCAGGAGGACGCUGGAGCUGCCGGUGCGUAAACGGAGCCCAGCAGGAGCAGGAGCAGGAGCAGGAGGGUGCUGCAGAAGAGGCGACUGGGGCUCAAGUCCAGCAUGUUGGGUUUUUCAAAAGUCUUUUCUCGGCAUAAAAAGGCCUCACUUUGUUUGCCGACAUUCCCUGGGGGAGGUCAUCGGAGGUUGAUGACAAGCGCCACUGUCACAAUGAGGCCCAGCAGCAUGAGGAAGGGCAGCCACGUCUUCAGGAAGCCCGCGCAGCUGGAAAGCAAAAGGACCCAAAGGAAGAUCAAUACAUCCCUCGACACUAACGCUGGUCGAAACACUUUCGAUUGUUUGCGCCUUUAGAACGGUGCUUUGUGUUGUUUUAUUUUUUUUGAGUUAUUCAAGUUUGCCUUUUUGAUUUAUCAGAAGUUACGCAGCACCACCGUGAGACGCCACGUUACCUGACGUGCUUUCCGUGCAGCAGCACCAGGAGGCAGAGCUUGACCAUGUUCCACGACGUGCUGUUGUCGUAGCGCAUCAGGUUGAGAGCCAUGGCCACGUGCGAAUGGCAGUUGUCACAACACAGGUUGUGCUUGAAAAAAACAUACCACCAAAAAAUGUUAUGCAAAUUUUGUACGUAUAAAUGAGUGGGCAAAGUCCGUACCAUCCUGUGCUUGUACUCCUCCGAAGCGUCGUGCACGGCAAUAUCCCAAGCGCUAGAGCCACUGGCAUAGACUUUGCUUACGUCCAGCAUCCAGUAUCUCCAACGACAAAUGAUAAUGUUGUGUAGAAGUCAGGUCAAGAGAGGGGAGGGGAAAAAAACAUCAGAUAAAACUCACUUUGUUGGUUUUCCAAAAGCCAUGUUGUCCUCCUGCAUGACAAAAGAAAAGCUUCCUUGGGUGGUGUACACACAUACAGUACCUAUAAUCAAAAUUGGAUUACUUACAGAUACAAAAUAGGGUCCAGCAAAGUCUCUGAUGACUCCAACUGAAGUGCAGAUGCCCAUGUGCCCAAUAAAUGGAAACAGCCAACUGGCAAGGCAAAAUAGUCACGUCAUUGAAUUAAUCAUGCAAUGAGAAACAUAAAAUGUAGUAUUUGAAUAAGUUGAUGGAAAAAAGCUGGGGGAAUAAACUAUGCAAACAUAACUAUUAUGCAUAAUACAACACAAACUUAAAUUCUGUAAUCUUUUGCAUGUAUAUGUUCAACUAUUUGAUGUUGCCUGGGUUUUGCACAACAAGGACAAUUAUCAGUGCUUUGUUUGCUCAUAUAAAAUAAGAAACGGGACGUUUGACAGCUAGCUUGCUAAACAAACGAAGCUGUCACUUGCGUUGCAGCACAUCCGGGGAACUUGCCCAAAGGAAGCCGACAACUUAACUCACGACAACACUGGGAUUGGGGUCCACACGAUACAAUGAGGGAAACGACCGGCCAGCGGGUUAAUCUUUUCCGACGCUAUGUGAUAGUUCUUCAUGGUUUCCGCCUUCUCGGUUAAAUCGGCCAUAGUUAUCUAUGGCAGGAAA